UCGCCUGUUUAUCAAAAACAUCACCUCCAGCAUAACUAGUAUUGGAGGCACUGCCUGCCCAGUGACAACCGUUAAACGGCCGCGGUAUCCUGACCGUGCAAAGGUAGCAUAAUCACUUGUUCUCUAAAUAGGGACUUGUAUGAAUGGCCACACGAGGGUUUUACUGUCUCUUACUUCCAAUCAGUGAAAUUGACCUUCCCGUGAAGAGGCGGGAAUAUACUAAUAAGACGAGAAGACCCUAUGGAGCUUUAACUACUUAGCCCAAAGAAACAAAUUUCAUUACCAAGGAAACAACAACACUCUUUAUGGGCUAACAGCUUUGGUUGGGGUGACCUCGGAGAACAAGAAAACCUCCGAGCGAUUUUAAAGACUAGACCUACAAGUCGAAUCACACAAUCGUUUAUUGAUCCAAAAAAUUGAUCAACGGAACAAGUUACCCUAGGGAUAACAGCGCAAUCCUAUUCAAGAGUCCAUAUCGACAAUAGGGUUUACGACCUCGAUGUUGGAUCAGGACAUCCCGAUGGUGCAACCGCUAUCAAAGGUUCGUUUGUUCAACGAUUAAAGUCCUACGUGAUCUGAGUUCAAACC
This 588-nucleotide ribosomal RNA is filed under the name Rusa unicolor (Sambar). Its description in RNAcentral is "partial large subunit ribosomal RNA". It matches the Rfam family "Bacterial large subunit ribosomal RNA", at positions 1796 to 2617 of the family's 2925-position model. The record is from RNAcentral. Lineage: Eukaryota; Metazoa; Chordata; Mammalia; Artiodactyla; Cervidae.